GGACGUUCAGCUCAGUCAGUAGAGCUUAGCGCUGACAAUGCUAAGGUCGCGGGUUCGAUUCCCGUUAGGUCCC
Molecule: transfer RNA, 73 nt
Filed under: Apaloderma vittatum (bar-tailed trogon)
Lineage: Eukaryota; Metazoa; Chordata; Aves; Trogoniformes; Trogonidae
Rfam family: tRNA
About the family: Transfer RNA (tRNA) molecules are approximately 80 nucleotides in length. Their secondary structure includes four short double-helical elements and three loops (D, anti-codon, and T loops).
Source: Rfam by way of RNAcentral